RNAcentral lists this ribosomal RNA (521 nucleotides) under uncultured bacterium. RNAcentral's name for it is "bacterial SSU rRNA". It matches the Rfam family "Archaeal small subunit ribosomal RNA", at positions 345 to 866 of the family's 1478-position model. The record is from RNAcentral.
AACCUCCGCAAUGUGAGAAAUCGCGACGGGGGGAUCCCAAGUGCCAUUCUUAACGGGAUGGCUUUUCAUUAGUGUAAAGAGCUUUUGGAAUAAGAGCUGGGCAAGACCGGUGCCAGCCGCCGCGGUAACACCGGCAGCUCUAGUGGUAGCAAUUUUUAUUGGGCCUAAAGCGUUCGUAGCCGGUUUGAUAAGUCACUGGUGAAAUCCUGUAGCUUAACUGUGGGAAUUGCUGGUGAUACUGUUGAACUUGAGGUCGGGAGAGGUUAGCGGUACUCCCAGGGUAGAGGUGAAAUUCUGUAAUCCUGGGAGGACCACCUGUGGCGAAGGCGGCUAACUGGAACGAACCUGACGGUGAGGGACGAAAGCUAGGGGCGCGAACCGGAUUAGAUACCCGGGUAGUCCUAACUGUAAACGAUGCGGACUUGGUGUUGGGGUGGCUUUGAGCUGCUCCAGUGCCGAAGGGAAGCUGUUAAGUCCGCCGCCUGGGAAGUACGGUCGCAAGACUGAAACUUAAAGGAAGU